Molecule: ribosomal RNA, 292 nt
Filed under: uncultured bacterium
Lineage: Bacteria
Description: partial 16S ribosomal RNA
Rfam family: Bacterial small subunit ribosomal RNA
Source: RNAcentral
GUGUCAGCAGCCGCGGUAAUACGUAGGUGGCAAGCGUUGUCCGGAUUUAUUGGGUUUAAAGGGUGCGUAGGCGGCCCUGUAAGUCAGUGCUGAAAUAUCCCGGCUUAACCGGGAGGGUGGCAUUGAUACUGCGGGGCUAGAGUACAGAUGAGGUAGGCGGAAUUGACGGUGUAGCGGUGAAAUGCUUAGAUAUCGUCAAGAACACCUAUAGCGAAGGCAGCUUACUAGGCUGUAACUGACGCUGAGGCACGAAAGUGUGGGGAUCAAACAGGAUUAGAAACCCCCGUAGUCC